AUUUAAGUUAUCUCUGAUCUAUUGCUUUGUAGUUUGUACUACUUUGUACACUGAUGCUUGAGUGUAGUAGUGUUCUCUAGAUCUAAAUAGUUUAGGAUUGUUUCUAAAUUCUAAAUUCUAACAUGUCUUCUCCAUAUAUACAAUUAUACAUAUGUAUGAAUCUUAUAGUUGUGCAAUUAAACUUGUGUUGUUUAUCAUAUUUUAAUUAUUAAUUAUAGCAUUUUGUGUUGGAUGCGAGAAUGUCGUGGCAUUUCCUUUCUUUUUGGACAUUGUUGUUAGUUUCAGUGGACCGUGGAACCUAUGAAUAGUAGGCAUUGCUAGCAAGCUUUUGGUAGAAUGUGCCAAAGUUUGGUCUUUUUACCAGGAAUGAAAUUAGACUACUGCUCUAUGUAUUUCUUCUGUCUUUUUCCUGCAAAUGUCAUUUAAUUAGAAAUAGUAAAAUAUUCUGCUAAGAGUGGCAAAGAGACAGACUGAUCACUUCUGCUGAAUCGGUCUAACAAAGAGUAGUAUUCUGUAUAAACUUUAGGUUUAUACAUUGGACUGUGAAAGGCAGGAACUGAUAUUUGGCCGAUGUUUGUACUCACUAGAGGUGUAGAGUAAAAAAUAUAUAAUUGUUUGAUACUAUCACAGCUUGAUGCCUGAAAAGGUGUACAGGAAAAUCUGGAGUAUAGUCCAAGAAUGUGUCCUGAAUUCCUGAUCAUUAAGAAAGCCAUAUUUCCUAGAGAGAAGCCAACCCUUCAAACCGAAAACAACUCCUAAUGCAGGCAGCUCAAGCAUACCAGGUUGCUCUCAAGGUAGUAACUGAAGAAGACAGUAAACAAUUGAUGUAAAGGCAUAUUCUAAUAGAUGUGUAUCUAGGUGUGCAUUUUAUUUGUCCUCACUUAGUUGUGCGUUAUAACAAACAUGUAGCUGCAUAGUGCCAAAAGCUACUUCAUUCAGUUGUUUUGUUUUGCAGCUAUCCCUGCUAAAUGGCAUUAGACUAUCCGGAAUUCGUCGCGAAGCUCAGACCUAGGUGCUCUUCCUAUCCAUGUAGUGGGUCCUUGGCUACUAAAGUUUCACAUUUUAGAAGGUGUAGAACACUUUGGUAUUAUACAGUUUAGUGAUUUCACUUAGCACUAGAGGAUGGUUGUGUAUUUUAAGCUUUCACCUAUUUUUUGGUGGCUUCCAUGGAUAUCAAGCGCUAGUUACAUAUGUGGAGACAAGCAUAGUUUGAUUUUUAAGUGACAUGAUUGCAUAUGUACUUGAGUUUGACAAUUGAUUGAGUAUGUCUGAUGUCAUCGUUUGUGUAUUAAUCAUUUUAAUAUUGUAUUGGUCUGGAAUGUUUG
Long non-coding RNA from Sorghum bicolor (sorghum), 1325 nucleotides. RefSeq lists it as uncharacterized. The transcript is spliced from 2 exons. NCBI's taxonomy places the organism in Eukaryota, Viridiplantae, Streptophyta, Magnoliopsida, Poales, Poaceae. The record is from RefSeq and is a predicted model, not a curated record.